This 518-nucleotide long non-coding RNA is filed under the name Homo sapiens (human). RNAcentral's name for it is "HSALNT0250093". Lineage: Eukaryota; Metazoa; Chordata; Mammalia; Primates; Hominidae. The record is from RNAcentral.
GUUUCACCCUGAACCUCUCUCAGCAUCCAGAAAUACCCCGUCUAGGUGUUUAAACAACAUUCUUCCUCUCACACUCCUGCCCCAUUCUCAACUCAAGCUUUUCCACAUUUUCUCCUUACCCCUAAACUUCCCCUCCAAGCUUUUCUGGACUUUUUACCUCUGUACUCUGCGGGAGCUGGUACACAGCAGCAGGAAACAUAUUUAGGACAGUGGCACUGGGGCCUCUCUGGAAAAUGGAAUGAGGUUUACCCUGGUGGGAAGAGAAAAAGGGCCUUCCCUCCAAAGGGAACAAGGAACCAAGGACUCCACAAGGAUGCUGGGACCGCCACCCUCCUGGGAGGAUCUGUGAUGACAGCCUCUACUCUUUCUCAGAACAAGACCCCACGUCUGCUCCAGCCUUAGAUUCUCCCAGCACUCUGGGCCUCUGUGUUUCAGUCAUGGCACAAAGUCCACCUAAGGGUCCAGUCUGGUGGUACAGCACACAUUAAAUGGCCAGAACCAUCAUAAGAAAUGUCCAG